GGCACUUUGGCGGAGUGGUUAACGCGAUGCCCUGCUAUUAAGUCAGGCAUUUCCUUCGGGAGCGUGUGUUCGAAUCACACAGGUGUCG
RNAcentral lists this transfer RNA (88 nucleotides) under Blumeria hordei DH14. RNAcentral's name for it is "tRNA-Ser for anticodon GCU". It matches the Rfam family "tRNA". Rfam says of the family: Transfer RNA (tRNA) molecules are approximately 80 nucleotides in length. Their secondary structure includes four short double-helical elements and three loops (D, anti-codon, and T loops). Further hydrogen bonds mediate the characteristic L-shaped molecular structure. tRNAs have two regions of fundamental functional importance: the anti-codon, which is responsible for specific mRNA codon recognition, and the 3' end, to which the tRNAs corresponding amino acid is attached (by aminoacyl-tRNA synthetases). tRNAs cope with the degeneracy of the genetic code in two manners: having more than one tRNA (with a specific anti-codon) for a particular amino acid; and 'wobble' base-pairing, i.e. permitting non-standard base-pairing at the 3rd anti-codon position. The record is from Rfam by way of RNAcentral. Lineage: Eukaryota; Fungi; Ascomycota; Leotiomycetes; Helotiales; Erysiphaceae.